Molecule: non-coding RNA, 279 nt
Organism: Momordica charantia (bitter melon)
Lineage: Eukaryota; Viridiplantae; Streptophyta; Magnoliopsida; Cucurbitales; Cucurbitaceae
Source: RefSeq, a predicted model, not a curated record
UUUUUUAGGUUUCAUUGAUUAAAAAUGAAAGAAAAUUAGAAAGGGAAAGGACACGUGGCAGAAGCUUGAUUACAUUCAAUUCUGCUGUGGCGCACAGGCCGCACAAUGAUUCAUUCUGGUUGAGAGUCAGAUCCAACGCUUUUUUCUCCUUUUUUUUUAAUUCUUUUUAAUUUUAUCAUUUAUAACAUGAAGGUGACAAUUUCGAUUUUUUUAAGUCGAAAACAAGUGUCUUGAUCCGUUGAACUGUGUUUAGUUUAGUUGACAUGUCUUUAGUUUCAA